Molecule: small nuclear RNA, 110 nt
Organism: Otolemur garnettii (small-eared galago)
Lineage: Eukaryota; Metazoa; Chordata; Mammalia; Primates; Galagidae
Source: Ensembl
GUCCUCGCGUCGGCAGCACCUAUACUAAAAUUGGGACGAUACAGAGAAGGUUAGCAUGGCCCAGAAAGGAGGAAAACUUCCCUCAGUGAAGUCAGUGAAGCCACAUUUAG